This 497-nucleotide ribosomal RNA is filed under the name uncultured bacterium. RNAcentral's name for it is "partial 16S ribosomal RNA". It matches the Rfam family "Bacterial small subunit ribosomal RNA", at positions 28 to 507 of the family's 1533-position model. The record is from RNAcentral.
GAUGAACGCUGGCGGCGUGCCUAAUACAUGCAAGUCGAGCGAACGGACGAGAAGCUUGCUUCUCUGAUGUUAGCGGCGGACGGGUGAGUAACACGUGGAUAACCUACCUAUAAGACUGGGAUAACUUCGGGAAACCGGAGCUAAUACCGGAUAAUAUUUUGAACCGCAUGGUUCAAAAGUGAAAGACGGUCUUGCUGUCACUUAUAGAUGGAUCCGCGCUGCAUUAGCUAGUUGGUAAGGUAACGGCUUACCAAGGCAACGAUGCAUAGCCGACCUGAGAGGGUGAUAGGCCACACUGGAACUGAGACACGGUCCAGACGCCUACGGGAGGCAGCAGUAGGGAAUCUUACGCAAUGGGCGAAAGCCUGACGGAGCAACGCCGCGUGAGUGAUGAAGGUCUUCGGAUCGUAAAACUCUGUUAUUAGGGAAGAACAUAUGUGUAAGUAACUGUGCACAUCUUGACGGUACCUAAUCAGAAAGCCACGGCUAACUACGUG